UGGCAGCGUUGUCCGGAUUUACUGGGCGUAAAGGGUGCGUAGGCGAUGUUUAAGUGAGAUGUGAAAUACCCGGGCUUAACUUGGGUGCUGCAUUUCAAACUGGAUAUCUAGAGUGCAGGAGAGGAGAAUGGAAUUCCUAGUGUAGCGGUGAAAUGCGUAGAGAUUAGGAAGAACCCAGUGGCGAAGGCGAUUCUCUGGACUGUAACUGACGCUGAGGCACGAAAGCGUGGGUAGCAAACAGGAUUAGAUACCCUGGUAGUCCACGCCGUAAACGAUGAGUACUAGGUGUAGGAGGUAUCGACCCCUUCUGUGCCGCAGUAAACACAUUAAGUACUCCGCCUGGGAAGUACGAUCGCAAGAUUAAAACUCAAAGGAAUUGACGGGGGCCCGCACAAGCAGCGGAGCAUGUGGUUUAAUUCGAAGCAACGCGAAGAACCUUACCUGGACUUGACAUCCCCUGAAUAACCUAGAGAUAGGCGAAGCCCUUCGGGGCAGGGAGACAGGUGGUGCAUGGUUGUCGUCAGCUCGUGUCGUGAGAUGUUAGGUUAAGUCCUGCAACGAGCGCAACCCUUAUUGUUAGUUGCUAACAUUCAGUUGAGCACUCUAACGAGACUGCCGCGGUUAACGCGGAGGAAGGUGGGGAUGACGUCAAAUCAUCAUGCCCCUUAUGUCCAGGGCAACACACGUGCUACAAUGGGCAGAACAAAGAGAAGCAAUACCGCGAGGUGGAGCCAAACUCAAAAACUGCUCUCAGUUCGGAUUGCAGGCUGAAACUCGCCUGCAUGAAGCUGGAGUUGCUAGUAAUCGCGAAUCAGCAUGUCGCGGUGAAUACGUUCCCGGGCCUUGUACACACCGCCCGUCACACCAUGAGAGCUGGCAACACCCGAAGUCCGUAGUCUAACGUAAGAGGACGCGGCCGAAGGUGGGGUUAGUGAUUUGGGUGAAGUCGUAACAAGGUAGCCGUAGGGGGGACCACUAUCUAGA
Molecule: ribosomal RNA, 984 nt
Filed under: uncultured Clostridium sp.
Lineage: Bacteria; Bacillati; Bacillota; Clostridia; Eubacteriales; Clostridiaceae
Description: bacterial SSU rRNA
Rfam family: Bacterial small subunit ribosomal RNA
Source: RNAcentral